RNAcentral lists this ribosomal RNA (305 nucleotides) under uncultured bacterium. RNAcentral describes it as "bacterial SSU rRNA". It matches the Rfam family "Bacterial small subunit ribosomal RNA", at positions 335 to 636 of the family's 1533-position model. The record is from RNAcentral.
GUCCUACGGGGGGCAGCAGUGAGGAAUAUUGGUCAAUGGACGCAAGUCUGAACCAGCCAAGUAGCGUGCAGGAUGACGGCCCUCCGGGUUGUAAACUGCUUUUAGUUGGGAAUAAAAGGGGGCUCGUGAGCCCCGUAUUGUAUGUACCAUCAGAAAAAGGACCGGCUAAUUCCGUGCCAGCAGCCGCGGUAAUACGGAAGGUCCGGGCGUUAUCCGGAUUUAUUGGGUUUAAAGGGAGCGUAGGCGGACUUUUAAGUGAGAUGUGAAAUACUCGGGCUCAACUUGAGUGCUGCAUUUCAAACUGG